This 253-nucleotide long non-coding RNA is filed under the name Oryza sativa (Asian cultivated rice). RNAcentral describes it as "long non-coding RNA (OSAT_LNC000538)". Lineage: Eukaryota; Viridiplantae; Streptophyta; Magnoliopsida; Poales; Poaceae. The record is from RNAcentral.
UUCGUGCCGCUCCCCACGGCGCUGUCGCUCGACGACCCGGCGUACAGGUGCCCCCAGGAGACCAAUGUUUCCUCCGGGGUGCUCUCCACCUGCUGCGUCCUCACCCCGGAGGCGGAGGCCAACGCCACCGUCAUCAACGCCAACGCCACCGACCCGACCAAGAACUUCCUCCCCCGCGGCACCGGCGACCUCGUCAUCACCUACGACGUGCUCCAGGCCUACCCCUCGAGCUACCUCGCGCUCGUCACGCUCG